UACGUAGGGUCCGAGCGUUGUCCGGAAUUAUUGGGCGUAAAGAGCUCGUAGGCGGUCUGUCGCGUCGGCUGUGAGAACCUGGGGCUCAACUCCAGGCCUGCAGUCGAUACGGGCAGACUAGAGUUCGGUAGGGGAGACUGGAAUUCCUGGUGUAGCGGUGAAGUGCGCAGAUAUCAGGAGGAACACCGGUGGCGAAGGCGGCAUCCUGGACCGGCAUUGACGCUGAGGCGCGAAAGCCAGGGGAGCAAACGGG
Molecule: ribosomal RNA, 253 nt
Filed under: uncultured bacterium
Lineage: Bacteria
Description: partial 16S ribosomal RNA
Rfam family: Bacterial small subunit ribosomal RNA
Source: RNAcentral